AUUGAACGCUGGCGGCAGGCCUAACACAUGCAAGUCGAACGGUAACAGGAAGAAGCUUGCUUCUUUGCUGACGAGUGGCGGACGGGUGAGAAAUGUCUGUGAAACUGCCUGAUGGAGGGGGAUAACUACUGGAAACGGUAGCUAAUACCGCAUAACGUCUCAAGACCAAAAAGGAGGACCUUCGGGCCUCUUGCCAUCGGAUUUGCCCAGAUGGGAUUAGCUAGUAGGUGGGGUAACGGCUCACCUAGGCGACGAUCCCUAGCUGGUCUGAGAGGAUGACCAGCCACACUGGAACUGAGACACGGUCCAGACUCCUACGGGAGGCAGCAGUGGGGAAUAUUGCACAAUGGGCGCAAGCCUGAUGCAGCCAUGCCGCGUGUAUGAAGAAGGCCUUCGGGUUGUAAAGUACUUUCAGCGGGGAGGAAGGGAGUAAAGUUAAUACCUUUGCUCAUUGACGUUACCCGCAGAAGAAGCACCGGCUAACUCCGUG
Molecule: ribosomal RNA, 490 nt
Filed under: uncultured bacterium
Lineage: Bacteria
Description: partial 16S ribosomal RNA
Rfam family: Bacterial small subunit ribosomal RNA
Source: RNAcentral